This 447-nucleotide ribosomal RNA is filed under the name uncultured bacterium. RNAcentral describes it as "bacterial SSU rRNA". It matches the Rfam family "Bacterial small subunit ribosomal RNA", at positions 29 to 521 of the family's 1533-position model. The record is from RNAcentral.
AACGAACGCUGGCGGCAGGCCUAACACAUGCAAGUCGAGCGAACCCUUCGGGGUUAGCGGCGGACGGGUUAGUAACGCGUGGGAACGUGCCCAAAGGUACGGAAUAGCCUCGGGAAACUGAGAGUAAUACCGUAUGUGCCCUUCGGGGGAAAGAUUUAUCGCCUUUGGAUCGGCCCGCGUUGGAUUAGGUAGUUGGUGGGGUAAUGGCCUACCAAGCCGACGAUCCAUAGCUGGUUUGAGAGGAUGAUCAGCAACAUUGGGACUGAGACACGGCCCAGACUCCUAUGGGAGGCAGCAGUGGGGAAUCUUAGACAAUGGGGGAAACCCUGAUCUAGCCAUGCCGCGUGGACGAUGAAGGCCUUAGGGUUGUAAAGUCCUUUCAGCUGGGAAGAUAAUGACGGUACCAGCAGAAGAAGCCCCGGCUAACUCCGUGCCAGCAGCCGCGGU